UUUUUUAUUUUUUUUUAUUUUUAUUUUUAUUUUUAUUUUUAUUUUUUUUUGGAAUAAUGUUUUUUUUUUUUAUUAUACUUUAAGUUUUAGGGUACAUGUGCACAUUGUGCAGGUUAGUUACAUAUGUAUACAUGUGCCAUGCUGGUGCGCUGCACCCACUAACGUGUCAUCUAGCAUUAGGUAUAUCUCCCAAUGCUAUGUGCCCUCUUACUAGUGAUAUUUUACACAUUAAAUGUUUUGAAUUCAAAAUUUCCAUGGAAACAAGGUAAAUUUCAAAUUUACAAUCUCUGUGGCGUGAUUAUAAUUUUAGGUUCCUAGUGAAACUGAGAAUGUUUAAGGUUCAAUUCCCACAUGUCUGUUAAUUUCACCCCACGGAUACAGGCUGACUUAACUCUGACCAACCACCCUGAACGUGCACUUCCUUCUCACGUGGAAAUGAGGUGGCAUAGCAAAGUCAAGAUGUGGAGCCCUGGUGAAUCAGCCUAGGACAGGCAGCUAUGGAGGACACAUUUGGAUUCAGAUGGAGGAAUCACCACCGAGGAAAGGAUUAUGAAGAGCAACCCCGAUCUGGAAGAUAUUCUGUUUACCUCUCAAAAUCAUGCAGGGAUUAAAACCCGACCUACAAGGCAGAAAAAAAUACAAGAGUUCAGAGGAAAGCAACACUUCAUUACAUUCAUGAGAUGCAUAAAUGACUGUAAAAGCAGCAGACUCAGAAAUCAAAAUAGGAAAAAAUCAGAUUCUACCAGCUGAGCCAUUCACAGUGCAGGCAGAAGGCCUUUUGAACUUCAGCUCUUACAGCAGAGAAUCAGAAAAUGUGACCAGGAGCACACCAGCUCUGGAAACAAGUGAAUAAUGGAGAUCAGAGAUGCAGAAAAUACAUAUAUAAUUUCAUAUGAUAUGAAAUUUUUAUGGUAUAAUCACUUCAUUGUAUUUCAUGCCCAAAGAAACGAAUUUUAUUUCCCCGAUGGCCAAACAGCUCCUAAUUACAGUUGUAAACUGGUUAAACGGGCUUAAAGAAGAAGCGGCUUUGGGUGAGGACUUAACAACACUGUCCAAUCCGCACUUUGCUGAAGGUGUUCCCCACUUCCCCGGUGAAUAUGGAAUUUGGAAUUAGUACCAGAAUCACCCACUAGGGAUUCACUCAUACAUUUUAUUUUUAAUUUGCAGCAUAUAUUUGUUUACAUAAACUCCCAGUACACUGCAUGCGGUUUAGAACACACUGUGAGUUCAUUGCUUAUUAUUCUUUAAAACAGCCUGUGGUAAGAGAGACCCUUCCAUUAAGAAGAGAUACUUGUCUUGAGAGGUCCACCACACAACGGGAUCCCAGGGAUGGUCUCAGCUUGAUGGAUCUAGGAGGCAUACCCCUUCUAAAUGGUGCCUAGCCAGAGCUCUUCCUGCCUGGGGCAGCCAGGCCUCUCAACCCUACUCUGGAAAAGCAACUAGAAGCUCAGGUCCUGCUGAUGAUGGACUAGGAAUGCCAUUUUUGCAUCUUUGUCAUGCACCAAGACAGGGCUCAUUCAUCACCUUCCCAUUAUGCACAGACCUGAAGAGGAACUGAAAAAGAAGGAUUCAGUGAUUCAGAAAAUGUUCGUUCCUAAAUGAAGAAUACAAUGAAGUCUGGACUUCACAGCCCUCACUACUAUGCAAUGUUCCUUCCUGCUGGAAAGCAGUUAUGUUAUUGCAGCAAAGCUGGUCAAGACAGCCAACCACCUGUAAAUACAACCUACUGGUUGCCCUGAAACAAUCUGUCACUUUCUACAGUACUUGGGGGAAACAACACCUAAUAAACAACACCUAGUAAAGCAAAAGAACAUAUACUACAGUCAAAGGAAAAAUCUCAUGUAGAACUGUGGUAAUGACAGUGCUUAUAAAAUUAGAAGCACUCAUUUACUAGGGUAUACAGAGCCCCAGAUGAUGGUGUGAUUAUAUGUUUACUAAGCUUUAUCCAGAGGACUACUGCAUAGAAGUCAAUCUUCUUGACUUUGAGCCCGUGGAAGAUCCAUCUGUUUCUACUCCUGCUCACUUCCCAGACACGCCGCAACUGGGCACAAAUCACGGAAGAGAAAUGUUUAUCCAAGUGGAGCUGGAAAAGCCAGGACUCCAGGAGGGCCCUGGGGUGCAGGGAGGACCCCUUCUUUCAAAGGUUUCUGCUGCACAGGCCUAGGGUAGGAUGGAAAGGAUCACAGAGUAGGGGAUAGAAACAAUUUUUUUUUAAAGAAAGAGAAGAAAAUCUUCUGAUUAUCUAGACAGAACAGGAGAAAGGGGAGCUGCGGCAACAGGGAAAUGAAAAUAAGCAGUAACAGGCCUUGUGACAGUUGAUUGUAGGAAUGUCCCUGCCAGCGGGUAACUUGUGUCCUGACAAGCUGCGAGAGCCUGAGGCAAAGGAUCUGUGCUUUGCUCACUGGGACCUAGAGAGGACACAAACUCUUUCUGUUCCUAAUAAAGAACAGGUUCAAGAGAGUGAGGGGAAACAAACUGCGGUAUGAAACUAACAUCUGCACAGCAGUCAUCGGCACAGCAGUAACAUUACUUGGAUAUCCAGGGCAGAAUCGAUCAAGUACGUGAGUUCUGAUGCAGGCACUGUGGUGAUUCCUGCAAAGGUUUUAUAUCUGCACACUUGGUCUGCAGAGUGGAGCUGGACUUCUGCUCUCAUUCUUCCCUCAGGUGCCUUUGUGCAGUACCAACACUGUGAACCAGACACUACGACCCCACCCGCCUAUCCCACCUCCCCCCAUUCAGGGACACUACGUUUAGACAGUGAAAGCCUUCUUUGGUAAAUGCAUUCCACAGUUCUCCUCCAGUCUCAAUUCCCCUCUCGAAACACAAAAUAGGUAAUAGAUUGAAAAGACCAAACUGGUUCCAUUAAUUUUUAUUGUAUUGUCUCAUUUCUAUUAAAUCAAGCACCAGAGUCCUGAAGUCACUGAGACAAAGCUGGGAGCAGGCAAUCCAAACCCUUGAAGUUGGUGCAGAAGUAGGGGCAAAAUAAUUUCCCAUAUCAUUUUGGAGGGUAUAACUGAAAGAGUGUUUUUUGUUUGUUUGUUUUUUGAGACAGGGUCUUGCUCUGUCACCCAGGCUAGAGUGCAGUGGCGUGAUCUUGGCUCACUGCAGCCUCAAACUCCUGGGCUCAAGCAAUUCUCCCACCGUAGCCUCCUCAGUAGCUGGGACUACAUGUGUGCACCACCAGGCCCAGCUAAUUUUUGUAUUUUUUGUAGAAAUGGGGUUUCACCAUAUUGCCCCGGCUGGUCUCAAACUCCUGAGCUCAAGCGAUCCACCUGCCUCGGCCUCCCAAAGUGCUGGGAUUACAACAUGAGCCACCAUGCCCGCCCAAAAGAGUGUUGUUUAACUGACACAGGAUAAUAUGAUUCACACAAAAUAGAACAUUUAGUAAUUCAAGGGUGUACCUAGAACAUUCUGCCAAGGGGACAUUUAACGCUGUGACACAGGAAGUGUCAUGAUGACUCAGGAAGAGGGGAUCCACAUGUAGUCCCAUAUUCCAGCAGAAGAGUGCUUCUGGACAAAUGUGUUAAACCUUCCCCCCAUCUUCAAAGGAAACAGAGACUACAGCUCUGUGGCAAAAGGCAAUGAAUCCCUCUGAGGGAUGUGUGUAUUCUAGUUAGAGAGUAACACAGACUACAGCUGCCUGUGACCAGGACAAAACUCUGAUGGUAGCCAUGGUGAACUGGAACACAAGCUCAUCUGUGAUAAGAGCCUCUUAGUUUUCCUCUUAUUCAAUUUCCAUCUUGAUGAAAAAUGGGAAAUUUGUAUGCAAUUGAGGAACAAAUACACAGAUUUCUGUGUCAUAAUCUUAUUGCUGAUUUUGUAUUUUGUCUACUUAUCCAAUGUAAGCUCAUCCUAUUUGAUCACGUCUCUGACAGUCAUACGGUUAUCCUUUUUUCCUCCACAGUGACCGCUGGAAAGGGAACACCUUGCAACUUCUCCCACGAGGCUUUCGAUCCUAAUGUAAGGAGCAGACCUCUCCCGUCAGAAGUACAUGGUGGGGAAAAAGGGCCAUGUGGACACAUGGAAACGGAUUCGGGCAGGACCAGAACUAUUUCCUUAGCCACACAGAUGAAGGGUUUGUACUAAUUCCUCAGUGAGGAGGAACUGGAACCUGAUAUCAAAAUCCACUGUAUGUCCUUUAUAGUUUAUUGUAUAUAAUUAUGUACCAUAAACUGUGCAUGGCUUACAUUCCAGGGCAUGGGAUCAGUCAUUCCUAACAAAUCUCGUUGUCAAUUUCUGUAAGUCCCAGCUAAGAAUCCCCGUAAGGGCUUAUCUGAACCGGGUAGAAUCAAAUAUUGUGAUAGAACCCCAGGGCCUGGGAGAAGCAGCAGCCCCCCACCUCCCCCCAAGAAUUCUGUCUGGUAUGCUUCGUGGUACAUCUGCAGGUGAGCAUUGACUCACAGAUAUACUUGGUGCACACCCUGUGUCCAGUACCGAAUGAUGCCAAUAUGAGCCAAUGGGACUUGAGGAACAUGUAAUUCUAUUCACUGUACUCUGCUGUGAAGACGCUACAACCUCCCUGUUAAGUCAUGCUCUUUGCUCAUUUCUGAGCUUGGGCCUCCUCUUGCAUGCAGGCCCUGUUCCACAAAUGACUCCAGGGGAUAAGGGGCUUCCAAACACCUAAGUCCUAGGGUGUUGCUUUAAGCCACUUGGCUCUUGUGCAUGUCUGUAAACCAUUGCUAGAAUUGGAGGUAUUUCAAAGGCAGCGAGCGGCAUAUGAGAAUAAAUGAUCUAAUACAGAGAGUGAAUUCCUGAUGAUUUAAAGCCAUUGAGAAAAGCGGCAAACAGAGCUUGGGAGACAGUACACCUCGAUGUCCUCAAAAACACAUCCCUUAAUUUCUAAGAGACCAUAAUUUAUCUUUCUAUACUGAUAACACCAUAUUUGUCAAAUACAGAUAUUAUGGACUUUUAAUAUUAGGGAAUUAAAAGAUCCUUUUAAACUCUGUUUUGAAAUACAUACAUUUUUUCACGUUUGCACAUACAGUAACACACCAGCCAGUGUUGAAAGUAUGACCUGCAAUUGCAAUCAAGCCAUUCAAGCCAUUCAAAGAACAAGCCACAUGGAAACUAUGACCUCGCCCCUGAAAAUCACCCACAGGCAUAUGUUUGGGCAUGAUUUCAGGAGAUCCAUGGGCUCUAGAAACCACCUGUAGGCCUGAGGCUCGGAACUUGUGAUACCUGGCCUCCCAUAGGAAGUAUGAGGAUAUCCUAAUUUUUCCCACCAGAAUUUGUAUAGACUAGCAAGUUUUGGGGCGGCUUGUUAUACUAAUAGGCUUCAUAGUCUCCACUGAGGGGGCAAUUCUGUUUAUAAACAUUUCCCUCACCCUUCUUCCCCAUUCAUUCUUGUGGUUUCCUGGCCCAAGCAAUACUUAUCUGUGAGCCACUGGCCCCAAUAACUAACUCAAGACAGCAACACGUUAUGCAUGGUGAGUUCAGACCGCAGCUGUCUAUGUAGCCAGUUAAGUAGCAUCAUCAAGACGAUCCAGUGCAGAGCAGUGGCAAAGGACAGAACCACCCAAAAGGAGGGAGGAGGCUGGACACAGAUACAUGGGAAGUUGGGGAAAGUUCAUCUGUUGUUAAAAUCAACAAGUACAAUGUCGACAGUGGAGGCCCAGAUGUCCCAUUAAGAAGUGUCCUACUUAGUCUGGAAAAGUUGGCAACUGUUCUCAUGGGAACCAGCAGCAGGAGCAGCAGCUGCAGUGCACAAAUAGAAGUGUCCUUCCUCACACCUAGUUUCAUCUGGGUCAAGUCCCUCCUCUGCUCAAGCUCUUCUGGGAGCUUCUCCUCUCCUGAGAGAAAGAGCUGAGGUUCAUGAGGCCCUACACUGUCUGCCUCCAAAGCUGCCUGCCUUGCUGUUUCGACUCCAGCCAUGCUGGCCUCCUCACCAGGCCUCGAACACACCAGGCCUGCCACCACAAGGCCUUUGCAUGGGCCGUUUCCUCUGCCUAGGACACUCUCCUGUGGGUACCCUCAUGGCUUUCUCCCUUUUUUCGGGUUUUUACUUAAAAACAUCAUCUUCUCAGAGAGGCCUUCCCUGACCAUUCUUUUGAAAAAUGCAAUCCUCCUCCCCCAUGCCUCCAUCUCCCUUUCUUGUUUAUUUUAUGUAUUUAUUUAGCUAUGGAGUCUCAUUAUGUUGCCCAGGCUGGAGUGCAGUGGCUAUUCCUAGGUGCACUCAUAGCUCACUGCAGCCUCAAACUCCUGGGCUCAAGCGAGCCUCCCACCUCAGCCUCCUGAGUAGGUAGGACCACAGGCGUGCACGACCACACUUAGCUCUGUUUAUUUUUCUUCAUAGCACUUAUCACCAUUUCAUUUACUUAUGUAUUUUACUUAUCUGUUGGCCUCCCUAACAAGAAUGUGAGUUCCAUGCAGGCAGAGAUCUUUGUUGGUUGAACUGCCCAUUGUCUCCCCAGAGGCUAGAAGAUGGUUAGAACAGUAUCUGCCUCAUAAAGUCGUUGAGGAGAUUAAAUGAAUUAAUGCCUGUAAAACACCUGAACGGCACAGGGUCUAUACUAAGAACUACAGCAAUAUAUGUUAUAAUUUUGAUUUUGUUUUAAAUUUUAUGAUGAAGGCAAUUGGGUAGUUAUUACCAUAUCCAUCUUACAGAUUCCAAGAUGGAGGCUCAGAGUAAUUUACCUGAAGUUCCACAUUAGUGACUGGCAGAGAGAGGAUUCAAACCCAGAUCGACUCCAUUCCGUGCACUAAUUUCCCCUUGCUCUGCUUUGGAAGUCCUGGGAUAGAAGAGAGGCAGAAAUCCAUUCUUUCUGGAACAACCUCAAAACCUGAGAAGGCUGGUCCACCCCAGGGGGUGGGAAGUGGGGAAUAAUGGCUCCAGAAUCCAGGGACCGUUUCCUUACAGACCUUUACACUGCAUGGAUCUAACAUGGCGUGUGGCAUUCUGUUUACUUCCUAACUUCACCAAAAAAUGUAAUACAGUCUGCCAAUUAAACAAUGUUUUCAUGACCCCAGAAAAUCCAUGGAUUGGAGACAUUUACUUUAAACAGCCAUUCCACCAUAACAGGAAAAGAGGUAGAGCAGAGGAGUUUAUUAUAACAGCUGCUUUCAUACCUCAAACAAGGUUUGGCUGUUUUUGGCACGUUGCACUGUAGUAGAGUUGGCAAGAAGCGGACAGACUGCAUGAGUUUCCUUUCAAAAGAUCAUUUUGCUUCCUUAAAAAACCCAUGACUGGACUAUCUAGUGUGAACUGCAGAUGUUUGUUCUUCCUUUGCUUCUCUGUCCUUGGGGAGCUCCCACCCUGCUUAGGCCUAAAUGGGGACACGAGUUUCUAGAGCAGAAAGAGCUUUGGAAUGGCAAAGACCUUGAUGAGAAUCCUACAUUUCUUUUAUUAGCUGCUUAACCCAAGACUCUCGUCUUUCUCUGCAGGGUUAUUCUAAGGAUUAGAGUAAGGCAAAUAGAGACCCUAGCACAGUGUCAGGCACGGUAACAGGCACCUAUGAUUAUCAUGAAAUUAGAUGGCUAGAGGCUUGAGUGUGAGUCCUCAGAGCUCUCCUGAGAUACUGCAUUUUACAAAAUGCAUGCAGCAGAGAAUGUAAAGUACGAGCUCUUGCCUGAAGCGUUUUUUAUAAAGGGACUUUUCUGCACCCCUUCCCUUCCAACCUACAAAGUUGGUAAGAAAUAGAAGAAGGAUAGAUGUCAGGGUUCCCCUGCACGUGUCAUUGCUCUUGGGGUCCAAAAGGGGAGGAAAGGGAAGAGGGGACGGAGGACCUGGUGGUGCCCUGGAGGGCAGAGCUUCAGUGGGUUUUAAACUGGAAAUCCUACAGGAAGUGAAGGCUCUUGGCUCCUGGGACCUGGGCUGCCCUGUGCUGUGACUCCUGUAAAACCCAGUGCUCAGCAAGCGGCUGAAACCAUUUCAAUGCAAAUGGCUUCCAGAUGGCAGAAGAGAAACCAGCAGCAUGAUGCUCCCGGCACGUGUGAGCCCGAGGGGUCUGAUGCCCAUUGGUCAGGCUGCCGCCUGAAACUCAUAAAGAACCCGUAGGAAUUAGGACUGGAACCCCCAGCAAGCUUGCAUUCCCUGGCUAGAUCUAACAGUGUGCGCUGGGAUAUGCCAGUUACAGGCGUAUCCCCUGCAAUCUGCGGUGUCUUGGGCAGCACAGAAGCCACCUUUCUCGCCCCUUCCAGCAAUGCUUAUUCUUCGGCCUCCAAGUAUGAGACCCACAGACAACACAGGCCUUGUUGCUCAAAGGAAAGGAGCCUCCCAAAACAUUUGGGAGAAGUGCGCUGGGCUGGGUUGUUGGACCCUGCUGCACUGGAGGGAAUCCUUGGCCAUUGCUGGCAGCUUUGAAGACCUAUUUUUUAUUUCCAAAGCUUUUAAUCCUUUGUCUAUUCAGAGCCUGAGCUUGGAGCACUUGCCAUCCAAAGAGACAAAAGCUGAUGAGCGGCCCAAGAAAGACAGGGCCUGGAUCAGAAGGACACCACCAGCUGGGUGCUUAGGAAGCACUCACUCCUGGGCUGGAACCUGGUGAGGAGUGGGGCUGGGGGAAAUAGGGUGGCGGGGCGGGUUGGGGCUUUAACUCCUUCCCCACUGAGAAAGCUGUGGUUUCAUCUGGACAUUGAAACAACCCACAUCCCAAAUACCAACUCAACCAAAAAGAGAAUAUAGAAUUGUGCACAUCUUCAGCCCUAACCCACUAUCCACGGGUGAUAAUCCAAAAAUUUAACAAACGCUCUGGCACUGAUCAAUGAGAAAGGAUACCCCCUGCUGCUGCCCAGUUGAGACUCAGUCCUGCCUGUGCCCCAACAGAGACAUUUAAAAAAAUACCACUGCAGUUACUUGUGGGUGGAAUCUCCCGGGCAGCCAACACAUUUCCCAGUGUUGGCAGAAGUUUUCAACUGCCUGGCGCUCUUCCUGGAGGGCACCCUGCACAGCGCUGGCCAGGCUGCACAGAGCUGAGGGCACAUCAGAAGAAGUUGUGAAUUAAACACAAAAACCGUCAUAAAUAAAAGUAGACAGAAGGAUGGCUAUUUUAAGUUGCUCCACUGUUUAGGGAAAAUAGCUGCAAGGAACAGCGGCCAGGACAUGGAGACUAUUCUUCCAUUCUUUUGUGUUUCGGUGAACUGAAACGUCCGAUGCAAUUGGCACGGGUUUUUCAGCCAACACAGAGGCCCACAGGGUGUGGCCACUGAGGGAGAAAGAAUGAAGCAAACAGCACCCAAUUCUCGACCUCCAGGGCCUUAUCAGGAGGACUUUGCAAUCCAUUUCUUGGCAAUUGCUAGUAAAAGUUGUAGGUAGAUAUCUAGCUCCUUACCCAUAGCCUAUUGUGCUCUCCGUGAGGUCUCCAUCAGUGCCAAAGGGUCUACUAGGAGAACCAUGUUUUAUCUUGUCCUUUCAAGACCCUUCUUCUCUACAUGGUGUACUUCUUCCCAAUUUAUUUCCCCUUUUCCUUUCUAUUCCUAGAUUGUUCUCCCCUCCAUUCUUACAUCUCCUUCCUUCUUUUCCCCAAGUACCUGCUUUGCUCUGCCAUCCCCCUCAUUCUCAGCAGUUCUUUUUCUUCCCAGUUCUUUCUUUCCACCAGUGCCCUCAAGAACUUCACACCCAAACUGCCAGCCAUAAUCCUGAAUGGCCUUGGGUGAGGAUUGAGCCACGCCGGUGGAAAUGCACAGGGUGGUUUCUGGCAACCAUGCCCUCCCCAACGCAGGGUGCACUCUGGUCGACUAAGGCUGGAGGGAUGGUGCAAUCUUUUUAUCUCCUUUUAUUAGGAAAAGAAGGUUUUGUUUUUGUUUUUUUUUUUCUUUGAGACAGGGUCUUGCUCUGUCACCUAGGCUGGAGUACGGAGGAGUGAUCACAGCUCACUGAAGCCUUGACCUCCUAGGCUCAAGUGGUCCUCCCACCUCAGCCUCCCAAGUAGCUGGGACCACAGGCACAUGCCACCAUAUCCAGCUAAUUUAUUUUUUUAUUUUUUGUACAGAUGGGGUCUCACUAUAUUACCCAGGCUGGUCUCAAACUCCUAGACUCAAGCAAUCCUCCCAUCUCGGUCUCCCAAAAUGCCGGGAUUACAAAUGUGACCCACUGCACCCAGCCGGGAGAAAAAGUUCUAACAAGCAGAAAGGUCUGUUUACUCCAAAGCAGGUCCAUGCAACUAAAAGUUUUGGAAAAGUGAAGAAAAUAGAGGAGAAUGACAAAGGGAAAAAGGAAGAAGUAAAAGGAACAAAGAGUAGAGAGAAAGACCUAACUUCAGUGUGAUCACAAUUUAUUCCAGUCAAAGCCCAAAAUAUAAAAACUGUUUCUAUUGUUCCACUAAGUAGUGGCCUCUCGGUGCUUCUGACAAGUGAUUUAGAGUAAAGUGGUCUGCUCCCACAGGGGCUUGCAAAUCUUCAUGCAUGAUGGUUCGGUCGAGAAAGCCGAAGUUGCCCAGUCAGGAAGGUGGUGAUGCAAAGGUCAGAUGAAUAAGGGAGGAGUUCAUUCAUCAACCCGACAUGUGAGCAUGGCUGGGACAGUGCGCAGGACGAAAGCCAUCUGGUAGCUUUGCUUGCAAGACCAGAUUAAGAAAGCACCAGCACAAAAACCACAAAGGAGAAGAUGAAGCUGUAUUUCCGGAGGAAAGCAAAGAUUUCUACCCAAAGCUGAGGUAAGAGCUUUAUUUUUUUUUUCCAAUGAUGAAGAAAGAAUCCUACUUCCCUCUGAUUUGCAUUAUUUUUAGCACAUAUGCCUCAGCAUUGGUGCCCAAUAGGUCCGGCAGUGUCUUUUCAACAGCCUGAAAUUUUUCAGUAGUUUCCCUUUGCCUAGAGUAUAAAACAAAAUUCAUAGCAUGGCAUAUGAGGCCUUCAUGAUGGAACCACUAGCUUACUCUUUACCGUCAUCUUUCCGCAUUCCUCAGUGCAGCUUCAGAGUACUGGCAGCUUGCAGAGCACAUUAUGCUGGCUCUUCCCUCCCUUGUGUAAUAUGCUUUUCCCUCUGACUGGUACACUUUCCCCUACCUCCUUGCCUGGCUAAAUUGUACUCUUCCUCUAUAACCCAUCUCAAAACUCACACUCCUCUGUGAAGUGUGAGUUCUCAGGGGUUCCCUCUUCUAAACACCUACUGCACUUGAAUGCCAUCCCAUCAUGCUAAUCAUCAGUCAUUGUAAUAGGGACAAGAAUGGUAUCUUUUCAUCAACGGUGCCUAACACAGGAAGUACCCCAAAUUUGUGUCGAUGAUUAAUGCAGCAUUCAUUUGAAUUCCACAUGUACACACAUUUAAUUACACACACUCACAUACACACACUCACACACACACGCUUGCAGGAUGUCUUCUCCUGCAUCUCUAGGGGUGUGGGUUCCAGGUGGGCCCCUGCCAUGAAGUUUCUGAUCAUGCCCCAGUGAUAAUAUGGAUGUGACGGAAAGAAGUGAGCUGUACAUCAGAAAUCAAGUUUGAAAUUUGGGAAUGUCUUUACGUUCUUAGAGACCUCAUCUGCACAGGCCUCAGCUUUCAACUCAGGCAGAGUACGUAAGUUUGCAUGAGAACGUAGAGUAGACAAAAGUGAGAGACGGCAGAAAGAAAGAGGUACAGGGUCUUGUGUGGAGCCUCCCACAUGGUUCUCUUCCAGUUCCCUAGGCAACCGGCCCCUGAUGAGUGGUUCUAUCUGGAGAGCCAUAUAUUAUUUCCAUAGAUGUUAAUUCCAUUUUUUAUGAACCCUUUCCCAAAGAGCCACAGAAUGUCAAAAGUGCUGAGAGAAGAAGUUGAGCCUUCUAUAAAUGUCAAAGCAAACAGAACCAGGCUCAGAGAAAGCAAGGUAAGUACUGGAAGGAACUCCUUGCAUUGCAAGGCAGGUGAAGAAAAGUGCAGAAAUGGCUAUUUACAUAGGAAGGAGUUUCUGCAAGAGUCAAUUGUAUUGAGACAUACUUCUGCUCUAAAACCCAAGUUUUCAAUGUCUGGCAUGAAACUGGCAGGAGAGAAGAGGGAUAUUGAAAUCUCAAGGGUUCUGCAGUUCUAAAAUUUGAUGUGGUUUCUGUUCACGUCAACAUAAAGAAAUGAUAAAUACUUGAGGUGAUGAAUAUGCUAAUUACCAUGAUUUGAUCAUUAUACACUGCAUACAUGUAUCAAAAUAUCACACUGUACCCCAUCAAUAAGUAAAAGUAUUAUGUGUCAAUUAAAAUAAUAAUAAUAAAGGAAAUGCCAAUGAAAACAAAAUGAUAAUCCCUAUUUACCACACAUUUUGGUGGGAAUAUAAGUUGUUAUAACCUUUUUGGAGGGCAACCAAAAUUUUAAGUGUAUAUAUUCUUUGAUAUGUCAAUUUCAGUUAUAGAAAUAAAUUCUUCUGAAAUAUUCCAACAGUACAAAGGUAUAUGAAUGAGAAUAUUCACUAAAACAUUACUUGUCAUGAAGGAAAAAAUGGAAACUUUUAAUGUCCAUCCAAAGGGAAAUUAUUGUAUAAAUCACGGGGCAUCAUGGUCUGAAAUUCUGUGCAGUAGAUAAAACAAUAAAUUCAUAUGCAGUAGCAUGGAGAUAUAUCCCUAUGAUAUACAUAGUUUCAAGUAAAAUAAAGCAAGUUGCUGAAGGAUUUUUUUUUUAAAAAGCUCACCUCUCAUCAGGAAAAUAAUGACUGGAUUUACAAAUGCCAAGAACUCAUUAUUGGGGCAUGUUAAACAAGUAAGCAGAUCUGUGAUCUCUUACAGACUUAAAAAAAAGACUUACUGCAACCAUGGGGGAGACAGAAGCAUUACUAGGACCUGCCCUGCUAUAGUCAUCUGCAACACACCCAUGGCGGAGUUGGAACAGUAUUUUUACUAGCACAUACCAGGUAUACUGUGGGUCAAACAGGCAUUGCAGAUGGCCAGAUGAUCUGAUUACCAGUGAAAAACAUUAUUUCUAGGGCAAACUGUGUCUUUAAAUUAUCAAAAUCUGCCUAAUAAUUCACCCUUCCUGUGUUAAGUUAGGGAGUCCCUGUAUAAAUCAGAUACAGAUGGAAAAAAAAUCCCUUUUUCUUUCUGCUUUUCAUGCCCAGAAUCAAGAAUAUAAUUAGCUUCACAGAUAUGUGGUCUUACUACUUUAUAUAGUAAAUUUACUUGUAGGCAAGAAGAGUGUCUUCUAAGUGUUCUGCAUCUCAUCACAACAGAGUAGGUUUUCCUAACCUCGCAAAUACAUGACCUGAAAAAACAGGAUUGAAAACGACUUUGAAAGGCUGGAACUCUGGAGCAAACCCAAUAUAAUGAAAUUCAACAGGAAUGAAGUCCCUGCUUACCUUAGGCUCAAGUUUCUAUCUGGACACUCCACUUAUUAGCACUAAUCCCCCCGAGCCCUGGUUUCUUAAUGUGUAGUAUGGGCAUCAUUACAGCCACAUUAUAGGAUUAUUGUAUAGAUUAAAUGAAAUUAUGCAUUUACAGUGAAUACAGUAUAGGUGGCACAAAGUGGGCCAGUGUAUAGUAAGUGCCUGCUUCUUUUCUCCUUUUUGCUGAUUCAAGCAAAUGUUAUUUUUAAAUUUUGUUUUAAGUGACACAUAAUAAUUGUACAUAUUCAUGAGCACAAUGUGAUGUUUCUAUCCAUGUAUACAUUGUGUAAUGAUCAAAUUAUAGUAUUGAGCAUCACCUCAGACAUUUAUCAUUUCUUUUUUUGUGUGUUGUGAUCAUUCAGAAUCCUUUAAAAAUGCAAUGAUUUUUUGGGGUGUCAUCUACAGGCAAAGAGCAUGCAUUCUGGCCUGCACCUCCAUGCUGUCCAUUUUACAACGCAAUUCCCCCAACGGGACUCUGUCAUUUUCCAGGACUGCCUGUACUGUGUGGGCAAGUCUGUCUAAUCUGGAGUCCAGGACUGGGAAGUUCAUUCUUGUGGCAUACCCAACCCAUAUCCUCUCAUUUGGGCCUUUAUCAGAAUUAAAGGUGAAUUUUUUAAAUUAAAAAAGCCAGAACAUAAUUUAAUUUAAUUUUUUAAAUUAAAAUUGCCAGAACAUAAGACGAGAGUAAUGGCUUAGUAGUAGCAUGAGUAAGAGUUUGAGUGAGUAGCCUAUUCAGUAUGAGUCAGUGAUUUGGUGCUGUUAAUAUGCAAUGAGAUGGAGGUGAGGAGGGAGUGAGGUCUCAGGAGGGAGAUGUAUGUGCCCAACUCCCCGUAUGUCUCAUCAUAAAGUCCCAGAGGACAAAAUACAAUAAUACCUGCCAGAAACAUGAUAAAAGAUGAGUUUAGCUACCCUAGCUGUGGAACUUAAGUUACGAUUAUAUUGGUUUUGUAUAAACGUAAAACAAAAAUCAAGAUAAAAACUAAAAACCAAGAAACAACCAUGAGUUUUAGCUUACGGAGAGAUCUAUCCAUUCAACAAUAGGUUGUAACCUCCCAUCUCCCCUAACUGCCCCCUACCCACUCCUUCUCCACACUCUACCUGGGUAUCCAUCAACGCCUCUGAUUAGUAAAGAAUCCAGAACAGUGGUUGUAUUAGUCCAUUCUCAGGCUGCUAAUACAGACAUACCCGAGACUGGAUAAUUUAUAAAGGAAAGAAAGGAAAGAGGUAUAAUUGACUCACAGUUCCACAUGGCUGGGGAGACCUCACAAUCAUGGCAGAAAGUGAAGGAGGAGCAAAGUCACAUCUUACAUGGUGGCAGGCAAAGAGAGAAUGAGAACCAAGCAAAAAGGGGUUUCCCCUUAUAAAACCAUCAGAUUUCAUGAGACUUAUUCAUUUCCAUGAGAACAGUAUCGGGGAAACCGCCCCCAUGAUCCAAUUAUCUCCCACUGGGUCCCUCCUACAACAUGUGGGAAUUAUGGGAGCUACAAUUCAAGAUGAGAUUUGGGUGGGGACACAGACAAACCACAUCAGUGGUUCUGAAUCUUGGCUACAAUCGACAUACCCAAGAAGCUUUUAUAAAUCUUGAUGCUUAGACCACAUUCCAGGUCUGUUAUAUCAGGGUCUCUGCUUGUGGGUCCCAGGCAUGCAUCCAGCGGAUCGCAGUGUGCAGCCAAGGUUGAGAACAACUGCUCCAGAAUGCUAGUCCACCUCACCUGGAGGAUGGUACCCAUUCCGGGCCACUAACUUGAGGAAGGCUGGAGUGUGACCAGGAUAGAGAGGAGUCUAAUGUUUGACAUAAAGACAGCUGGAAAAGGACAUGAAGAACAGGAGGCUCAGGGAGGUGUGGUUGUUACCUGCAGAUAGAUGAAGGACUGCCACGUGUAAGAGGAAGUUAUUUUGUUUUCCCUGCAUUGCUAUUAAAGGUGGGAACUAGAGAAAAUUGAAUUUCAGCUCAACCUAAAAAGAGAACUCUUUGAGCAGGGAGUAGGAGGCACAGUUAAAAGAAUGUGCAACCUACUGCUGAAUGCUGUGCACGUAAGCUAGAGUGAAACCCCGUUGGUCAGAGAUUCUGUAGAAGGAGGUCGGCACAAGACACAGGGAACUGGACUCCAUGACCUUUAAGGUCCUGUGUAACUGUGAUUCCAGGUGUCUUUGAUUCUAGGGGCUCAAUGGUUUGUCAUGGACUAAUUACCAACUUUGCAGAAGGAAUAAAAACAUUUUGUUGAACUCAGGAGAACAAAUCCAUCAUAAACCUUACCAAAUGGAUAAGCACAGAUAGGCUGGGACAUAGGAAUAAGCCUAAGAAGACUGAAAUGCCUAGAAGUUCUUUCCAUAUCACCAUACAGUUCAUGAGAACAACUUAAAAUACAGCAAUAAAACGCAAUCACAGUAAAUGGCCUUGCUGUGGCAGCUCUCUAGAAGGAUAUCUGCUGAUUUAAGAAGGCAGAACUCUGGAGGAGACCCCUGCUGUUUACAUGGUUGUCCAAGUUAAUUAUCCCUGUACUUUCAGAUGAAGUGAAUGGUAAUCUGUUUAUCUAGGUCAAAUAGUUGGAACUGACUCUGUCCCUUGACAGUCAUAUGAAAAUACGUAGUGUUGUCCUUUUGGGCAUUAUAAGAAAGAUCAGGUUAAAAAAAUAGCAUCCACUUCUUUACAGGCACAACAUAGCCUUUAUUUCUAAAGUACUCUAAUUAGACCCAACUCUAAACAAGUGGUUUAAAAUGGGAUUUUUUUUUUUUUUUUUUUUUUUUUUGAGACAGAGUCUCGCUCUGUUGCCCAGGCUGGCGUUCAGUGGUGCGAUCUCGGCUCACUGCAACCUCCACCUCCCGGGCUCAAGCGAUUCUCCUGCCUCAGCUUCCUGAGUAGCUGGGAUUACAGGCACACACCACCACACCAAGCUAAUUUUUGUAUUUUUAGUAGAAAUGGGGUUUCACCAUGUUGGUUAGGCUGGUCUCGAACUCCUGACCUCGUGAUCCACCCAUCUUGGCCUCCCAAAGUGCUGGGAUUACAGGCAUGAGCCACCGUGCCUGGCCAAAAAUGGAAAUUUUUUUAAAGACAGAAAGAAAAGAGAUUUUAGUGGCUAAUUAUUUCCGUUUUUUCAAUUCAUGGUAUAUUUUUUGUCUUGAGUUUAUGGAAUGUUUCCCCAUAGAGAUAAUGAAAAUCUGGCUUCUGGCCUCUGCAACCAUUCUAAGAACAGCAAAGUACAUACAUGGAAGAAAGGAUGGAAAUACCACAGAAAAUUAGUAAAAUGCUGAUACUGGUUACCAGAACAAAGAGGGGUGUCAGAAUGGAGGAAGAAACUUUAUAUGUCAGAAUGUAUCUAGGGGAGAUGUGAUUUAAUCUACAAAAUAAAAUCUUUGGGAGAGUAAAGUGCUACCUAAUGGCAUUUACCAGAUGUCCUUUAAGGUUGAUCUGAUUUCAGAUUAAGUCAGUCAGAGUGAGCUGGGGAUACAGUAGGGGUGGAUAAAUCCACUGUGGGAAAAGUUAGGAUUAUCAGGGUACCUUUUGUGGGUGGGGGAGAAGGCUAGGCUUCAGUUUGACCCUUGAGGGAUGGUGCCUUCAGGAAAUUACAGAAUUAUUGAGCUUCCUGAGCUACAAACUUCCCUUAGAUUAUGUCCCUUUGAACUACUUAUUCUUUACUACCUAAAUCCAAUGUAUUGAACAUUGUUGAGCACCAACUGUACAAGUCAUGUUGUAACCAUACAUGGGCAGGCAGGGGUGACUGGAAGACUAAAACGUGGUCACUGCCAUCUUGGAACCCUAGAAUGAUAAUGCUACAAGACCUUGCUACUCAAAGUACUGUCUGUGGACUAGUGGCAUCAGCAUUAUCUGGAAUAUUCUCAGAUGUACAACCUCAAGCCUGUCCCCAGACCUACUGAAUCAGAAUCUGCAUUUUAACAAGAUCCCCAGGUGAUUCCUAUGUCCAUUAACAUUGGAGAAGCACUGCCAUUGGAGACCUCAGAGUCUCUAACCUCUCACCCUUCAGAUACAAACCCAAGGCUCAGAGAAGUUAGGUGACUUGCUCAAGGUCACACCACACAUUCAUAGCAGCCAGGUUUAGAACAUUUCUUGAUGCUUCAUCUGGAAACAUAUAUUACAGGAAAAGAAUGGAUAUGGGAACCAGGCAGACCUGAAUUUGGAAGCUGAGAGCCUCAGUUUUCUCACUUACGGAAACUAAGUUGCUUAUACUUCCUCAAAUAUUCCUCAAGUAUAAGCAACCUAGUUUCCAUAGGUCUCAAAAAAUAAAAUUUGAUUUCAAUUUUUUUUUUCUGUUCCCACCAGCACCUUCUGGGCACACAUAGCUUCUGAAGAGGCCAGGUGUACAGCUGACUUGGGAUUGAGGGGUUCUCCACGUAGUGAGGAGUUUUGUUACAGAAAGAACGCAGACCGCUACCAUAUCUGCUGAAGUGCAGGUCUGCUGGUGUCACUAGAGAGGAAGGAGACCGCAAGAAGACAGCGGCCGGGGGGAUCUAGGAGAUGGAAAGGGUCCUGAAAAAUUCUAAUCUGGAUAAUCUCUGGAUACUGGACAAUGAAGCCCAGGUGUGCUCUAAAAAAAUGGAGCAAAAUUUGGUCCAACUCAUGCCAAUUGUGUUCAACAGUUUAUAGGAUAAGUAGAUCCUUUCAGGCUGUCAUAGUUCAAGCUCUUGGAAUGACCAGUAAUAUAUACUUAAACAUAUGACAAAACUUAAGGGAAAAGAGGGCCCAAGGCAUGCAGGGGAACUGAGCAUAAAGGCCAUUGUAUUUCAUGUAUGACUUGACUGUGUUUCAGUAAAGCAAUUUUAGCUCUAAA
Homo sapiens (human) is the source of this 17989-nucleotide long non-coding RNA. RefSeq lists it as uncharacterized. The transcript has 2 exons. Lineage: Eukaryota; Metazoa; Chordata; Mammalia; Primates; Hominidae. The record is from RefSeq and is a predicted model, not a curated record.